This 472-nucleotide long non-coding RNA is filed under the name Musa acuminata (dwarf banana). RNAcentral's name for it is "long non-coding RNA (MACU_LNC004670)". Lineage: Eukaryota; Viridiplantae; Streptophyta; Magnoliopsida; Zingiberales; Musaceae. The record is from RNAcentral.
UUUGUUAGGAUCCUUUUAUUUUUCCUUUUAUUUUUUGUGCUUUCCUUUUAUUUUCUGUGUGUUUAUUAAGUCCAUUUAGUUUAGCUAAAGUCGGAACUCUAUAAAUAGGGAUGUAACUACUUCUUUUCGAUCAUCUAUGAAAAAUACUAUUUUUGUCUUGUGACAAACCCUAAGAGGCCGAUCCCCUCGAAGCGAUCAAGGUGGGCCGAUCUCCUCGAAGCGAUCAAGGAGGCCGAUCCCCUCGAAGUGAUCAUCCCCUUUCUCUUCUUCUUUUUAACGAUAAGACUUUAGGGUCUUAUCAUUUGGUAUCAGAGCGACGAUCCUUGGCGUUCUCACUACAACGAAGCUAUCAAAAAAAAAAAAAAAAAAAGAAACGAAAGAAAGAAAGAAAGAAAGAAAGAAAGAAAGAGAGAAGAAGAAGCAGCAACCGCACCAUGCACCCCUACUUCCCCUGCUUCCGGCCAGCCCACCC